UGUGCUUGUGCUGCUCCUG
This 19-nucleotide microRNA is filed under the name Callorhinchus milii (elephant shark). RNAcentral's name for it is "eshark_mir-636_1". Lineage: Eukaryota; Metazoa; Chordata; Chondrichthyes; Chimaeriformes; Callorhinchidae. The record is from RNAcentral.